CUUGACCCUGCUCUUAUGCGUUCCGGUCGAUUGGAUUGUAAAAUUGAGUUUCCACAUCCCACUGAAGAAGCAAGAGCUCGGAUUCUGCAGAUUCACUCUAGGAAGAUGAAUGUUCACCCGGACGUCAAUUUUGAAGAAUUAGCUCGCUCUACUGAUGAUUCAAUGGUGCACAACUAAAAGCAGUUUGUGUGGAGGCAGGCAUGUUGGCCCUUCGCCGUGAUGCAACUGAGAUGAGCCUGAUGAUUCCAUGCAUACAUUUACUGGUCAUACGGCUAUUCAUGCUACACUUGCCAGUCGCGAUGUGGACUAUUGUUUGAAUCCAGAUUCCCCUUUCUUUCCUAAAAGGACGAGGUGGACUUUUUGAGUUCAUUGAAAAACGACUCAGAAAAUGGACACAUGGUUAUUGUGAUUGCUGAGGGAGCAGGACAUGUUCUUCUUUUAGAGAGCUUGUAAUCCAUGAAGCAGCAAGAUGCUUCAAGAAACAAGCAACUUAAAGACGUUGGGUUAUGGAUAUCUCAAAGGAUCAGGGUAUUACUCGCAUUCCUACAGAGUUAGUGCUUGGAAACUUCCAAAGCUAGACUCCAAUGAGGCCAUGAGAGCAGCAAAGCUUGCAAAGCUAGACACAAGUAAAUUUCUAGAUGUAUUUUGCUAGGAGAGUACUAUUAGAUGUACUCCUUUUGGGGAUAAAAGAUUAACUUUGCACAAUUCAUUUUGGUGCAUGAUGUGAAUUAUAACAAUUUCUUCUAU
This is a long non-coding RNA of Rosa chinensis, 747 nucleotides long. RefSeq lists it as uncharacterized. Lineage: Eukaryota; Viridiplantae; Streptophyta; Magnoliopsida; Rosales; Rosaceae. The record is from RefSeq and is a predicted model, not a curated record. The transcript is spliced from 4 exons.